GAUUAAGUUAUUAAGGGCGCACGGUGGAUGCCUUGGCACUAGAAGCCGAUGAAGGACGUUACUAACGACGAUAUGCUUUGGGGAGCUGUAAGUAAGCUUUGAUCCAGAGAUUUCCGAAUGGGGAAACCCAGCAUGAGUUAUGUCAUGUUAUCGAUAUGUGAAUACAUAGCAUAUCAGAAGGCACACCCGGAGAACUGAAACAUCUUAGUACCCGGAGGAAGAGAAAGAAAAUUCGAUUCCCUUAGUAGCGGCGAGCGAAACGGGAAGAGCCCAAACCAACAAGCUUGCUUGUUGGGGUUGUAGGACACUCUAUACGGAGUUACAAAGGACGACAUUAGACGAAUCAUCUGGAAAGAUGAAUCAAAGAAGGUAAUAAUCCUGUAGUCGAAAAUGUUGUCUCUCUUGAGUGGAUCCUGAGUACGACGGAGCACGUGAAAUUCCGUCGGAAUCUGGGAGGACCAUCUCCUAAGGCUAAAUACUCUCUAGUGACCGAUAGUGAACCAGUACCGUGAGGGAAAGGUGAAAAGCACCCCGGAGGGGAGUGAAAUAGAACCUGAAACCGUGUGCUUACAAGUAGUCAGAGCCCGUUAAUGGGUGAUGGCGUGCCUUUUGUAGAAUGAACCGGCGAGUUACGAUUUGAUGCAAGGUUAAGCAGUAAAUGUGGAGCCGUAGCGAAAGCGAGUCUGAAUAGGGCGUUUAGUAUUUGGUCGUAGACCCGAAACCAGGUGAUCUACCCUUGGUCAGGUUGAAGUUCAGGUAACACUGAAUGGAGGACCGAACCGACUUACGUUGAAAAGUGAGCGGAUGAACUGAGGGUAGCGGAGAAAUUCCAAUCGAACCUGGAGAUAGCUGGUUCUCUCCGAAAUAGCUUUAGGGCUAGCCUCAAGUGAUGAUUAUUGGAGGUAGAGCACUGUUUGGACGAGGGGCCCCUCUCGGGUUACCGAAUUCAGACAAACUCCGAAUGCCAAUUAAUUUAACUUGGGAGUCAGAACAUGGGUGAUAAGGUCCGUGUUCGAAAGGGAAACAGCCCAGACCACCAGCUAAGGUCCCAAAAUAUAUGUUAAGUGGAAAAGGAUGUGGCGUUGCCCAGACAACUAGGAUGUUGGCUUAGAAGCAGCCAUCAUUUAAAGAGUGCGUAAUAGCUCACUAGUCGAGUGACACUGCGCCGAAAAUGUACCGGGGCUAAACAUAUUACCGAAGCUGUGGAUUGUCCUUUGGACAAUGGUAGGAGAGCGUUCUAAGGGCGUUGAAGCAUGAUCGUAAGGACAUGUGGAGCGCUUAGAAGUGAGAAUGCCGGUGUGAGUAGCGAAAGACGGGUGAGAAUCCCGUCCACCGAUUGACUAAGGUUUCCAGAGGAAGGCUCGUCCGCUCUGGGUUAGUCGGGUCCUAAGCUGAGGCCGACAGGCGUAGGCGAUGGAUAACAGGUUGAUAUUCCUGUACCACCUAUAAUCGUUUUAAUCGAUGGGGGGACGCAGUAGGAUAGGCGAAGCGUGCGAUUGGAUUGCACGUCUAAGCAGUAAGGCUGAGUAUUAGGCAAAUCCGGUACUCGUUAAGGCUGAGCUGUGAUGGGGAGAAGACAUUGUGUCUUCGAGUCGUUGAUUUCACACUGCCGAGAAAAGCCUCUAGAUAGAAAAUAGGUGCCCGUACCGCAAACCGACACAGGUAGUCAAGAUGAGAAUUCUAAGGUGAGCGAGCGAACUCUCGUUAAGGAACUCGGCAAAAUGACCCCGUAACUUCGGGAGAAGGGGUGCUCUUUAGGGUUAACGCCCAGAAGAGCCGCAGUGAAUAGGCCCAAACGACUGUUUAUCAAAAACACAGGUCUCUGCUAAACCGUAAGGUGAUGUAUAGGGGCUGACGCCUGCCCGGUGCUGGAAGGUUAAGAGGAGUGGUUAGCUUCUGCGAAGCUACGAAUCGAAGCCCCAGUAAACGGCGGCCGUAACUAUAACGGUCCUAAGGUAGCGAAAUUCCUUGUCGGGUAAGUUCCGACCCGCACGAAAGGCGUAACGAUUUGGGCACUGUCUCAACGAGAGACUCGGUGAAAUCAUAGUACCUGUGAAGAUGCAGGUUACCCGCGACAGGACGGAAAGACCCCGUGGAGCUUUACUGUAGCCUGAUAUUGAAAUUCGGCACAGCUUGUACAGGAUAGGUAGGAGCCUUUGAAACGUGAGCGCUAGCUUACGUGGAGGCGCUGGUGGGAUACUACCCUAGCUGUGUUGGCUUUCUAACCCGCACCACUUAUCGUGGUGGGAGACAGUGUCAGGCGGGCAGUUUGACUGGGGCGGUCGCCUCCUAAAAGGUAACGGAGGCGCUCAAAGGUUCCCUCAGAAUGGUUGGAAAUCAUUCAUAGAGUGUAAAGGCAUAAGGGAGCUUGACUGCGAGACCUACAAGUCGAGCAGGGUCGAAAGACGGACUUAGUGAUCCGGUGGUUCCGCAUGGAAGGGCCAUCGCUCAACGGAUAAAAGCUACCCCGGGGAUAACAGGCUUAUCUCCCCCAAGAGUUCACAUCGACGGGGAGGUUUGGCACCUCGAUGUCGGCUCAUCGCAUCCUGGGGCUGUAGUCGGUCCCAAGGGUUGGGCUGUUCGCCCAUUAAAGCGGUACGCGAGCUGGGUUCAGAACGUCGUGAGACAGUUCGGUCCCUAUCCGUCGUGGGCGUAGGAAAUUUGAGAGGAGCUGUCCUUAGUACGAGAGGACCGGGAUGGACAUACCUCUGGUGUACCAGUUGUCGUGCCAACGGCAUAGCUGGGUAGCUAUGUGUGGACGGGAUAAGUGCUGAAAGCAUCUAAGCAUGAAGCCCCCCUCAAGAUGAGAUUUCCCAACUUCGGUUAUAAGAUC
RNAcentral lists this ribosomal RNA (2833 nucleotides) under Staphylococcus aureus subsp. aureus Tager 104. RNAcentral's name for it is "bacterial LSU rRNA". It matches the Rfam family "Bacterial large subunit ribosomal RNA". The record is from RNAcentral. Lineage: Bacteria; Bacillati; Bacillota; Bacilli; Caryophanales; Staphylococcaceae.